ACCGUGUAUCUACAGGUCCUUACAUACAUACUCGUAUUUGUUAAAUAUAUAAGAGUAUGAUAUUAGUGUCAUAUUUAUAAACAUUCCGCCAGUAAACACACGAUAUUGACCACAUAUUUAGCUCUUGCCUUUUCUGACUCGGCUAAUUCCGCACGUAUGCGGAUUGCGCCCCCGCGUCGGUUGGGCGUGAGGAGGGUAAUCGUUGGGUUAUUAUUAUUAACUUGUGGUUUUUAUUUCAAGAUAAGUUCAUGACAUCUUUAUAAUAUGCAAAUAAUUCUCAUGAAGAAUGAAGAUUGAAAUAAAUCUGAUGUAACUUUUCUAAGAGAUAUAAGCAUAUGAACGUACAAAAUGUCGGUAGCGAUUUCUAAAUAAAUAAUCUUAUGCAAGCCUAAGUUUAUGAUUGGCAUUAUUCAUGGUGACUACUAAGGGAAAAAUUUCAGCUAGGUUAAGAACUGAAAAUAUUUAUGAAAUGUGAAAUUGUCGUUAUGGAAACUUACGUGCUCUUUUAUUCAGUAUAAAAUAAUAAUAUUUCGAAGCGGAUGUACGUGUGAAAAAAUUCACAUAUUAAUUAUACAUAAAUAUGAUGUGAAUAUAUCAUCAUCAAGUUCUGAAAUUGGACGUCGACAAUAGUUUGACUAUACGGAGCUUCGAUUGUUCAUUUGGUUUAAAUAAAAAUUGUAUGCCAAUUAUGGCAUGCUAUCAAUAUUCUUCGCACACAUCGUAGUCCAAACUAAUAAAGCAGAUAUUGGAAAUAUAAACAGCCGGAUAAAGUAACCUUGAAAACGUUUUCACUCGGCAACUCAAAAUAGCAAUUCGUUUUAGAUAGCAGAAUAGUGAAAAUAUAUCGGUAAUUGCUAAAUUUCAAGCCACAUUCCUGCAAAUAUUUAGAACUUUACAAGGUACGGGCACUUUAAUCUGGAAGGAGGCAGGGCGGACGCAUUAAAUGAAAGAUUAAUUAAUUAAAACCUACACACAACCGCACAUAGUAUGCACACCACACAUAGAAAGACAUGUGUAUGAGAAAUUGGAAAUAAGAUGUUUUUAUCAUUAACCGCGCCACUCAAAUCAGCCUUCAGCAUUUAAAGGUAACCGAAAUGAAAAUUAAAACGAAAUACACGCAUAACAUUCAACGUAAUGGAAAGGUAAGUCUGCGUAGGAACGUGAAGCACCAGCCACGUGAGCUCUGGUCGAAGCGUGUCGUAAGAAUGUGUGCAAUUUCGCUGAGCUUGUAACAGGUUCACGCCACACUUGACAGCUCAUGUGGCAUGAGAAAAUCGAUGCGGCAUUGUAAAUUAUAGACGCGAAAAUGCGCGAUUCAGCGAAAUGGAAACAAAACAUACAAAUAGCAAUAAAAACAAUCGAAAAAUACUACAGCAUUAAGUAAAAGCACAAAAAUAAAACCAUACAAACUUUGGACAUGGAAUAAACAUUUUACUGGACCUGUGCUCAAUUUUCUAGCGAUGCGCUAUGAAAUGCGUUGUUGUGUGGAAAAGCUGAUUUUAAAAAUAUACAUUUUGUUGUUAUGCAAAAAUGAGCUCAUUGGCUCUUUUGGCCAAAAAUAAUCAUUAUUACAUACAUACAUACAUACUCGUACAUUACUGAUUUUCUAUUAAUAUAAAAAUGUAUAUAAUUUGUGUAUAUCGUUACAACUCACUGUAAUCUGAAAGCGAAGAUAAAAUCACAUCUGUUGGCACUUAGUAAAUACAUUUAUAAGGAAAUGCAAGAUUCAUAAAUGUGUUCUAUAUUUGGAAAUAUACAUACAUAUAUACCAUACAUGUUUGGCCAAUCGAAA
Molecule: long non-coding RNA, 1792 nt
Organism: Bactrocera oleae (olive fruit fly)
Lineage: Eukaryota; Metazoa; Arthropoda; Insecta; Diptera; Tephritidae
Source: RefSeq, a predicted model, not a curated record